ACCAAGCCGUUGAUCGGUACGGGUUGUGAGAGCAAGAGCCCGGAGAUGGAACUGAGACAAGGUUCCAGGCCCUACGGGGUGCAGCAGGCGCGAAACCUCCGCAAUGUGAGAAAUCGCGACGGGGGGAUCCCAAGUGCCAUUCUUAACGGGAUGGCUUUUCAUUAGUGUAAAGAGCUUUUGGAAUAAGGGCUGGGCAAGACCGGUGCCAGCCGCCGCGGUAACACCGGCAGCUCUAGUGGUAGCAGUUUUUAUUGGGCCUAAAGCGUCCGUAGCCGGUUUAAUAAGUCUCUGGUGAAAUCCUGUAGCUUAACUGUGGGAAUUGCUGGAGAUACUAUUAGACUUGAGACCGGGAGAGGUUAGAGGUACUCCCAGGGUAGAGGUGAAAUUCUGUAAUCCUGGGAGGACCGCCUGUUGCGAAGGCGUCUAACUGGAACGGUUCUGACGGUGAGGGACGAAAGUUAGGGGCGCGAACCGGAUUAGAUACCCGGGUAGUCCUAACCGUAAACGAUGCGGACUUGGUGUUGGGGUGGCUUUGAGCUGCUCCAGUGCCGAAGGGAAGCUGUUAAGUCCGCCGCCUGGGAAGUACGGUCGCAAGACUGAAACUUAA
Molecule: ribosomal RNA, 607 nt
Filed under: uncultured archaeon
Lineage: Archaea
Description: bacterial SSU rRNA
Rfam family: Archaeal small subunit ribosomal RNA
Source: RNAcentral